UGUACUUGAUGUUGCCGUUGCCCGAGUCCACGUCGGAGUGGAGCUGCGCGAGGGAAGAUCAAAUCGUGUCACGCUUCAAGAGCUCUGGAGCAUGAAACAUGACGCUCGUUCGAUGUCAUCGCACUCGUCGCUGUUUUGACUGAUGUCGCCGUUGUUGUUGUUGAGGCGUGCCGCCCCCAAUCGCGCCCCGAGUAUGAGCCUCCCAUCACCCGCAAUUCCCCACGACAACCGGCCCCCCCCCCAACUCUUGAGGAGGAAGAGACUCUUGGAUGACACUGAUCGGGAUCCGACCUAUCAAAGUGAAGAUAGGUCUCACGUACAUGUAGCGAGCCCACCCUCGUCGUCGUCGAGCCUCAACUCACCCGUCCCACCAGAACAGGAUCCGGUCCGGUGUACUCCUCAAUGACA
Molecule: long non-coding RNA, 408 nt
Organism: Phyllopteryx taeniolatus (common seadragon)
Lineage: Eukaryota; Metazoa; Chordata; Actinopteri; Syngnathiformes; Syngnathidae
Exons: 3
Source: RefSeq, a predicted model, not a curated record